AGUCGAGGGGUAACAGAGGAGCUUGCUCCUGCUGACGACCGGCGCACGGGUGCGUAACGCGUAUACAAUCUGCCUUGCACUAAGGGAUAGCCCAGAGAAAUUUGGAUUAAUAUCUUAUGGUUUAUAAUUAUGGCAUCAUAUUUAUAAUAAAGGUUACGGUGUAAGAUGAGUAUGCGUCCCAUUAGUUUGUUGGUAAGGUAACGGCUUACCAAGACUACGAUGGGUAGGGGCCCUGAGAGGGGGAUCCCCCACACUGGUACUGAGACACGGACCAGACUCCUACGGGAGGCAGCAGUGAGGAAUAUUGGACAAUGGAGGAGACUCUGAUCCAGCCAUGCCGCGUGCAGGAAGACGGUCCUAUGGAUUGUAAACUGCUUUUAUACAGGAAGAAUAAGGACUACGUGUAGUCUGGUGACGGUACUGUAAGAAUAAGGACCGGCUAACUCCGUGCCAGCAGCCGCGGUAAUACGGAGGGUCCGAGCGUUAUCCGGAAUUAUUGGGUUUAAAGGGUCCGUAGGCGGGCUGUUAAGUCAGGGGUGAAAGUUUGCAGCUCAACUGUAGAAUUGCCUUUGAUACUGACGGUCUUGAAUUAUUGUGAAGUGGUUAGAAUAUGUAGUGUAGCGGUGAAAUGCAUAGAUAUUACAUAGAAUACCGAUUGCGAAGGCAGAUCACUAACAAUUGAUUGACGCUGAUGGACGAAAGCGUGGGUAGCGAACAGGAUUAGAUACCCUGGUAGUCCACGCCGUAAACGAUGGAUACUAGCUGUUUGGAUUUCGAUCUGA
Molecule: ribosomal RNA, 782 nt
Filed under: Cellulophaga sp. AU126A_Ted2_SNAX
Lineage: Bacteria; Pseudomonadati; Bacteroidota; Flavobacteriia; Flavobacteriales; Flavobacteriaceae
Description: bacterial SSU rRNA
Rfam family: Bacterial small subunit ribosomal RNA
Source: RNAcentral